Physcomitrium patens is the source of this 3443-nucleotide non-coding RNA. NCBI's taxonomy places the organism in Eukaryota, Viridiplantae, Streptophyta, Bryopsida, Funariales, Funariaceae. The record is from RefSeq and is a predicted model, not a curated record.
UUCAAGGAUUGUCAUGUAUUUGAGGGGUCUUCGGUUUCUGACACAGUCUUUAGGAAUUCGUCCUUCACAGCCAUCACCAGGAGAGCCUGAGCUUUAAGUUUGUGGAUUUUGAACUGCUCUACAGUAUAUGUCGAUGCACCUACGGUUAUUGGGAACGAUGCUGGUGUCAGUUUUCUCUCCACUGAAUCCCACAUAUUUUCUCUCUUCAACAAUGCCUUCAUCCUUAACUUCCACACAUUAUAGUUUGUGGAACCUCCAAUUUAUUACUCUCACUAAUGGUGAUCGUUGACGACUGAUCACUUGACAUGCUGUCGAAAUGAAAAAAUCUACAGAUACUCUCAAUUCAUGGUGCUGGUAGAAUGUCACUAGAUUUUUUUACUGUCUACAUAGAAACAAAACUAGAUGGAUUCAGAUCUAGGAGCAAAGCUCACUAGCAGGAAGUUAAUCCCGCUCUGAUACCAUGAUAAAGAACUACAUGAUCGAGAUAAUAUAUUUUUAUUAAGGAUUGAUUGAUUUAAGUACAAGAGAGUAACUGUGUGUCAGUUAUGGUGUGCCGCUGGUGGGACUCGAAGAGCCAAUCAGCACUCGAAGAGGCAAUCGGCACUGGCAGUCAGUCUGCGACUCGUAGAAACGAUAUUUUACUAGAUACUUUUUAUUAGGGCGACUAUCUUCAAAUGAGAUUCUAUGUGCUUCUAUGUGCUUCAUCUCGUACACACAUAACAUCAGAUUUUUGCAUCGGUUUUUGAGCCUGACUACCACGUCUGAGGGUUUGCUCACGGCUCAUGGGAUUCAACGCUUUGGUUUCCGUGGUUAUUGAGGAAUUAAUCACAUGCCGAAUACCAUCAGAAAGAAAGACUAGCAUGGUGGGCGUUUCGGAGUUUCGGUGGCCAAUUGCUUUCAACCGAAUUACUUCAUGGGAAUCAGAAAUUAGCUUCCGCGUACCAUUGUUCACCGAUUAACCAGUUGGUUGCUUUAAACCAUCGCAGAAUCGUAGGAUAAUACUACGAGAUUUAAUCUUGGUUGAAAGCUGGAUAUAGGUUUACUUGCUAUGAAAGCGUGCACGGAAUCUACAAACAUAGUAAACUUCUGCAGAUGGCCCUCAACUCUUGCGACGACGGAACUGGAGGAUCCCAAACUGCUCUUUCUGUUUCGAGUCCAAUGAUCAAUCCCCCCACAAAAAGAAAUCCAAUCCCACUACGCUAACGUCCUUAAAUCGCCGAAACUCUUUGACGCCAUGCUCAGCGAAAAAAAACAAAAGCACCACGAGUCGACCUUUACAAGUGUCAUCCACAAAAUGACUGAUCCAUUUGCCAUUCUGAGCCGGCAGGUGCACAAAUGGGUACUCAUUAAACAACUAUUUUGUGAAGUCAGCAAACGGGUCCGACCUAAGUUACCCAUCUAGACCUACGAGGUCUACGAGGUCUACGAGGUCAUGGACCUAUUUUCAGCUCGGAUGAGUGGACAGAGGGAUCAUCUCACCACUGAGUUUUUGAUCUGCGCUCGAUUUCCAUCGCUGGUAGAAUCUGUUGCAUUAGGGAUGCAGAGUCUACUGCCUAGCCUGCAAUAAACAACCCAGGAAUGCUGCGGAGAUUGGUUUUGCUGUUCGGCGACCUCAUAUGUGCUGCACAGAUGCUCUGACGAUUGAUAGACUUCGCGGCCUGUAAUAGUAUUACCUCUCCCACGCCUCUGUGAAGUGGGCGUGGGCACGAGUGUUAAAUUUGUACGCUAGGGACAAGAUGGUGCCCACCCGCAAGCUCCACAGCGGCUCCAUGUGACCCAAAGUCAGGUUUAUGGUCAUUUCCUCGGGAUUGACAGUCCUCUGACUCAUAAUGGGAGGACCCCACUUGAGCGCCUAAUUUAAGUACUUCUCCGGUACAAUAUUAACAAGUGGGAAUCUAACUUCAGUUACCUGUUACAGUGCAAAGAUUCUCCAAGAUAGAAACAGGGUUUCUAGAUCUGUUCUAAUAGUGGGUCACGUGGGUCAUGGAUUUUUACUGGAACUGAAUGGGUUUGGUCGGCAACUCAGUGACGUAACUUGCGCACUGUGAGUGGUCAUUCUACUUUCCUCUAUGCUACACAUCAUGUCCGUAAUUGGAUACAACACGAAAUGGUAAAAUAUACAAAGGCUCGUCGAUUGCUGAUCAGUUUCCUGGUACGUGACUCUGCUGAUUACCCUAAACCUUAGGUGAGUGAGAGGAAUAUUCUAAAUCGAAAGAAGAAAAUCCCCUGCGCGCUUUUUUUUCUUGCACUUGUGGAUUGAGCAUUGAGCCGUUUGUUCCUGUCAUAGACGCCUGCUAACCCUCUGAGUAUUGGCCGCGAGAAUUCGGACACGGAGGUUGUAGCCCCCGCCCUGAAACUGUAGCAUCAGAAUUCCUAACAUUCUCUUCCCCUGAUCCAAAAAGACGGAGGGGAAAAAAAAAACAUGAUGCCCUUCCCCUCAAUCCGAACUUAGGCUCAGAAAAGCGCGUCCGUGCCCGCGAAAUCACACUUUUUGCUUUGGGGAUUUGAAUUCGAACGUGCUAUGGCUGCCAUUUGGAAGGAGCCAUAACAGGGGAGAGUUAGGACCAGUGGGAGUGCUGGGGGUGUGGGGUACGACACAGGCUGAAUGAGUUCUUUUGCUGCAAGAGCCAUGUGUGAGAUGCGAAGGGAAAUUCCUGGGCCCCAGCCCACUCCCAGCUUCGUGCGGCUUUUCUUCACUCUUUUUCCCCUCGCAACAAGUUUCCUCGCAUUGGAAUGAAUCCACAUCAAAUGAUUGAACACAAAUUCUUGGCCGGCAGCCCCCGGGGGAGCAACAACCAGGAGAAGAAAGAAGAAGUUGGAGAGGCUCAGAAAACAGCGAGCUCAGUCACAUGAAACGCCCAUGCACCCAUCUGAACCAUCGUAUUCAUUUCGAAGCAACAAACCAAAACCCUAAAACAUCAACUGUCGACAUUAGCAUUCUAAACAAUGCGGCCAAAAAAAAGAACAAGUAACCUUACAAGUAACGAAGCUGACGUGAGGAAGAAAACAUCGAGGCUCAGCUUGGGGGAGCAUGACCCCAUUAAUGGAAGCUGAGCCAAUUGUGCAUAGCGACAAUGAAUGAAAAGGAAUGGGAGUGUCAGACGGACGGCAGCAACAGGAAUAGCCACAGCACCCUCCUCUACGAGGAGACAUACCCUUCCCAGGGCCACGACGACUCCGGGUGGCUGCGGAAAGCUCAUCAGUAUUAGGGUGACGGAGGAAGCUGACAAGCCUUAGUGCCUCUGCUCUCUGAGGCCUGGCGUUAAGGUCUCGGUACACAGGGCCCAGCUCCCAAUGUUCUCUAACUGACGGCCAAUGAUUCUAAAUCCAAAUAUAUAUGUAAAUAUCUGUGUGUGUGUGUGUGUGUAGUGUGUUAGUUUGAAGUUACGAGAAGCGAUAUUACAGAGCUCAUGAUGCGAAUGAAUACCCCCCACUUCAGAUUC